Acanthosepion pharaonis is the source of this 103-nucleotide non-coding RNA. Lineage: Eukaryota; Metazoa; Mollusca; Cephalopoda; Sepiida; Sepiidae. The record is from the annotation of a GenBank genome assembly.
UAUCAUCUUGAAACACUGGUUCUUGUCUGAUUACCAAAGUUAAGUAACAUUGAACCUGGCCAGUACUGAGAUGGGUGACUGCUUGGAAAUACCAGGUGCUGCA